CUAAUACCACAUGAUAUCAUAACAAGGCAUCUUGAAAUGAUNCAAGGAGAAAUCCGGUGCAAGAUGGGACUGCGUACGAUUAGUUAGAUGGUGAGGUAACGGCUCACCAAGGCGACGAUCGGUAGCCGAACUGAGAGGUUGAUCGGCCACAUUGGGACUGAGACACGGCCCAGACUCCUACGGGAGGCAGCAGUGGGGAAUAUUGCGCAAUGGGGGGAACCCUGACGCAGCAACGCCGCGUGAAGGAAGAAGGCCUUCGGGUUGUAAACUUAUUUGAUUGGGGAAGAAAAAAAUGACGGUACCCAAGGAACAAGCCACGGCUAACUACGUGCCAGCAGCCGCGGUAAUACGUAGGUGGCGAGCGUUGUCCGGAAUUACUGGGUGUAAAGGGCGUGUACGCGGGAUUGUACGUCAGAUGUGAAAUUCCCGGGCUUAACUCUGGAGGUGCAUCUGAAACUAUAAUUCUUGACGUGCUGGAGAGGAAAGCGGACUUCCUAGUGUAGCGAGGAAAUGCGUAGAUAUAGGGAAGAACACCAGUGGCGAAAGCGGCUUUCUGGACAGUAACUGACGCUGAGGCGCGAAAGCGUGGGGAGCAAACAGAUUUAGAUACCCUGNUAGUCCACGCUGUAACGAUGGGAUACUAGGUGUAGGAGGUAUCGACCCCUUCUGUGCCGGAGUUAACACAAUAAGUAUCCCACCUGGCGAGUACGUCCGCAAGGCUGAAUCUCAAAGGAAUUGACGGGUGCCCGCACAAGCAGUGGAGUAUGUGGUUUAAUUCGAAGCUACGCGAAGAACCUUACCAGGGCUUGACAUCCCUCGGAUUACAUAGAGAUAUGUUAGUCCUUCGGGACGAGGAGACACGUGGUGCAUGGUUGUCGUCAGCUCGUGUCGUGAGAUGUUGGGUUA
This 906-nucleotide ribosomal RNA is filed under the name uncultured organism. RNAcentral's name for it is "bacterial SSU rRNA". It matches the Rfam family "Bacterial small subunit ribosomal RNA", at positions 163 to 1082 of the family's 1533-position model. The record is from RNAcentral.